Long non-coding RNA from Austrofundulus limnaeus, 998 nucleotides. RefSeq lists it as uncharacterized. The record is from RefSeq and is a predicted model, not a curated record. The transcript has 3 exons. Lineage: Eukaryota; Metazoa; Chordata; Actinopteri; Cyprinodontiformes; Rivulidae.
GUGUGUCAGACAGGUGUGAUGUAAACAGGUGUGUCAGACAGGUGUGAUAAUAAACAGGUGUGUCAGACAGGUGUGAUAAUAAACAGGUGUGUUAGACAGGUGUGAUAUAAACAGGUGUGAUGUAAACAGGUGUGUUAGACAGGUGUGAUGUAAACAGGUGUGUUAGACAGGUGUGAUGUAAACAGGUGUGAUAUAAACAGGUGUGUUAGACAGGUGUGAUGUAAACAGGUGUUACUGUAUAUAAACUGGUAUGUUAGACAGGUGUGAUGUAAACAGGUGUGUUAGACAGGUGUGAUGUAAACAGGUGUGUUAGACAGGUGUGAUGUAAACAGGUGUGAUAUAAACAGGUGUGUUAGACAGGUGUGAUGUAAACAGGUGUGAUAUAAACAGGUGUGUUAGACAGGUGUGAUGUAAACAGGUGUUACUGUAUAUAAACUGGUAUGUUAGACAGGUGUGAUGUAAACAGAUGUGUUAGACAGGUGUGAUAUAAACAGGUGUGAUGUAAACAGGUGUGUUAGACAGGUGUGAUGUAAACAGGUGUGUUAGACAGGUGUGAUGUAAACAGGUGUGUUAGACAGGUGUGAUAUAAACAGGUGUGUUAGACAGGUGUGUUAGACAGGUGUGAUAUAAACAGGUGUGUUAGACAGGUGUGAUAUAAACAGGUGUGAUGUAAACAGGUGUGAUAUAAACAGGUGUGUUAGACAGGUGUGAUGUAAACAGGUGUGAUAUAAACAGGUGUGUUAGACAGGUGUGAUGUAAACAGGUGUGUUAGACAGGUGUGAUUUAAACAGGUGUGUUAGACAGGUGUGAUGUAAACAGGUGUGAUUUAAACAGGUGUGUUAGACAGGUGUGAUAUAAACAGGUGUGUUAGACAGGUGUGAUGUAAACAGGUGUGUCAGACGGGUGUGAUAUAAACAGGUGUGUUAGACAGGUGUGAUGUAAACAGGUGUGUUAGACAGGUGUGAUAUAAACAGGUGUGUUAGACAGGUGUGAUGUAA